AGGGCACCACCAGGAGUGGAGCCUGCGGCUUAAUUUGACUCAACACGGGAAAACUCACCCGGCCCGGACACUGGAAGGAUUGACAGAUUGGGAGCUCUUUCUUGAUUCAGUGGGUGGUGGUGCAUGGCCGUUCUUAGUUGGUGGAGUGAUUUGUCUGGUUAAUUCCGAUAACGAACGAGACUCUAGCCUAUUAAAUAGAUCGUUGGCUUACAAACGCCGGCGAGACUUCUUAGAGGGACAGGCGGCGAUUCAGCCGCACGAAACAGAGCAAUAACAGGUCUGUGAUGCCCUUAGAUGUCCGGGGCCGCACGCGCGCUACACUGAAGUGAUCAGCGUGCAUUUUGAAACCUACUCUGUCAAGAGUGGGGAACCCAAUGAACCUUCUUCGUGAUUGGGAUAGGGGAUUGUAAUUAUUCCCCUUGAACGAGGAAUUCCCAGUAAGCGCGAAUCAUAAGUUUGCGCUGAUUACGUCCCUGCCCUUUGUACACACCGCCCGUCGCUACUACCGAUUGAAUGUUU
RNAcentral lists this ribosomal RNA (519 nucleotides) under uncultured eukaryote. RNAcentral's name for it is "SSU rRNA". It matches the Rfam family "Eukaryotic small subunit ribosomal RNA", at positions 1161 to 1698 of the family's 1831-position model. The record is from RNAcentral.